UACGAAGGGGGCUAGCGUUGCUCGGAAUUACUGGGCGUAAAGGGCGCGUAGGCGGAUAGUUUAGUCAGAGGUAAAAGCCCAGGGCUCAACCUUGGAACUGCCUUUGAUACUGGCUAUCUUGAGUACGGGAGAGGUGUGUGGAACUCCGAGUGUAGAGGUGAAAUUCGUAGAUAUUGGGAAGAACACCGGUGGCGAAGGCGGCGACCUGGUCCGAUACUGACGCUGAGGCGCGAAAGCGUGGGGAGCAAACAGG
RNAcentral lists this ribosomal RNA (253 nucleotides) under uncultured bacterium. RNAcentral's name for it is "partial 16S ribosomal RNA". It matches the Rfam family "Bacterial small subunit ribosomal RNA", at positions 524 to 776 of the family's 1533-position model. The record is from RNAcentral.